AACAAAAAUUAAAUGGAAUGUGGAAAUUAACCAAUGUUGGGAGUGCAGACUAAAAGAAUAUGAUACAGAGGAAGGGACAGAAGUAGGCUUAUUUAGCAAAUGGAAGUGAAAAGCAAGUAUGAAGUUAUUCUGGAAAAGGAGGAAUCCAGAUUCUGUGGAGAAAGCAGGGGCUUCUCCCCUAAGAGUGAAGUGAGAAGAUCCAGGAGAAUGAUUUAUGUGAUGACAACAAUAAGAAGAAGAAAAAUGGACUUGAAAGACCACAGAGCUUAGAUCAAACAGCUCUGUAGAAAUAUCUCUCAGCAUCAACAGGAUCCACAGGAACAGUCAGUUGGUAGAUGGAUCAUGAGGAAAUUCACAGGGGAGAGAGAAUAUCUAGUUCUCUAGGUCCACCCUAGAAGACUAGACAGAAACUCAAUGUCAUGCCUGCUCAACUGUCUCUUAGAAGAAGCAACAGACCUGCGACUUCUCCAGAGUUCUGGAACCUUCUUGCUUCUGCCUUUGCAGGAUCUCCUGCUCCUGCUUAUUUCCCUAUAACAGUUCUGAAAUAUUUUGUGCAUCCCCUAUAGAUUCAAAAUGGUCCUAUGGUUACAAGUGCCCGUCAGUAAGCACUAUCUCUACAAAAUAUAAUAAAUUUGUUAGUAAACACGAUCUGUACA
RNAcentral lists this long non-coding RNA (656 nucleotides) under Monodelphis domestica (gray short-tailed opossum). Its description in RNAcentral is "lncRNA (ENSMODG00000042784.1)". The record is from RNAcentral. Lineage: Eukaryota; Metazoa; Chordata; Mammalia; Didelphimorphia; Didelphidae.